Molecule: unclassified non-coding RNA, 254 nt
Filed under: uncultured Parcubacteria group bacterium
Lineage: Bacteria
Description: contains 16S-23S intergenic spacer region
Rfam family: Bacterial small subunit ribosomal RNA
Source: RNAcentral
AACAGAACCCCCGAGCGUUAUCCGGAUUCAUUGGGCGUAAAGCGUCUGUAGCCGGUUUAGCAAGUCUCAGGUUAAAUACCAAGGGCUUAACCUUUGGAAUGCUUGAGAAACUGCUAGACUAGAGGGCGUUAGGGGCUGAUGGAACUCUUGGUGGAGGGGUGAAAUCCGUUGAUAUCAAGAGGAACACCAAAAGCGAAGGCAUUCAGCUGGGGCGACCCUGACGGUGAGAGACGAAAGCGUGGGGAGCAAAAAGG